This 611-nucleotide ribosomal RNA is filed under the name uncultured marine bacterium. RNAcentral describes it as "bacterial SSU rRNA". It matches the Rfam family "Bacterial small subunit ribosomal RNA", at positions 879 to 1501 of the family's 1533-position model. The record is from RNAcentral.
AGUACGUUCGCAAGAAUGAAACUCAAAGGAAUUGACGGGGGCCCGCACAAGCGGAGGAGCAUGUGGUUUAAUUCGAUGAUACGCGAGGAACCUUACCAAGGCUUAAAUGUAAUAUGACCGGUUGAGAGAUCAACCUUUUUUCGAACAGAUUACAAGGUGCUGCAUGGUUGUCGUCAGCUCGUGCCGUGAGGUGUCGGGUUAAGUCCCAUAACGAGCGCAACCCCUAUUUUUAGAUACCAGCGAGUAAUGUCGGGAACUCUAGAAAAACUGCCUGUGUAAACAGAGAGGAAGGUGGGGAUGACGUCAAAUCAUCACGGCCCUUAUGCCUUGGGCUACACACGUGCUACAAUGGUUACUACAAUGUGAUGCCAUCUGGUGACAGAGAGCUAAUCAAUAAAGGUAAUCUCAGUUCGGAUUGGAGUCUGCAACUCGACUCUAUGAAGUUGGAUUCGCUAGUAAUCGUAUAUCAGCCAUGAUACGGUGAAUACGUUCCCGGGCCUUGUACACACCGCCCGUCAAGCCAUGGAAGUUUGGGGUACCUGAAGUCAGUAACCGCAAGGAACUGCCUAGGGUAAAACGAAUAACUAGGGCUAAGUCGUAACAAGGUAACC